This 486-nucleotide ribosomal RNA is filed under the name uncultured bacterium. Its description in RNAcentral is "bacterial SSU rRNA". It matches the Rfam family "Bacterial small subunit ribosomal RNA", at positions 30 to 507 of the family's 1533-position model. The record is from RNAcentral.
AUUGAACGCUGGCGGCAUGCCUUACACAUGCAAGUCGAACGGCAGCACGGGUGCUUGCACCUGGUGGCGAGUGGCGAACGGGUGAGUAAUACAUCGGAACGUACCUUAUCGUGGGGGAUAACGUAGCGAAAGUUACGCUAAUACCGCAUACGAUCUACGGAUGAAAGCGGGGGACCGUAAGGCCUCGCGCGAUUGGAGCGGCCGAUGUUAGAUUAGGUAGUUGGUGGGGUAAAGGCUCACCAAGCCGACGAUCUAUAGCUGGUCUGAGAGGAUGAUCAGCCACACUGGGACUGAGACACGGCCCAGACUCCUACGGGAGGCAGCAGUGGGGAAUUUUGGACAAUGGGCGCAAGCCUGAUCCAGCCAUUCCGCGUGCAGGACGAAGGCCUUCGGGUUGUAAACUGCUUUUGUACAGAACGAAAAGCCUUGGGUUAAUACCCUGAGGUCAUGACGGUACUGUAAGAAUAAGCACCGGCUAACUACGUG